GGAAAUUGUGAGAUUAUAGUUGAGUUGGCUAAAUCUUACCCAGAUCUCCCAUGGGAUGUUAAUGACAAAAAUCAAAGCAUCUUUCACAUUGCAGUUUUGUAUCGUCAUGCAGCCAUAUUUAAUCUCAUACAUGAAAUAAGAUCGAUCAGGAAUUUUGUGGUAACAUAUGAGGAUGCAGAUCAAAACAAUUUACUGCAUUGUGCUGCAAAAUUAGCACCACCAAACCAACUUAACUUGGUGUCUGGAGCAGCUUUUCAGAUGAUGCGUGAGUUACGGUGGUUCGAGGAGGUGAAGAAGGUCAUGCCACUUUGUUUCAUAGAGAAGAGAAAUUCCAAUGGUAAAACUCCUCGAGAACUUUUCACAGAGGAGCAUGCAGAGUUACUGACAAAAGCAGAAUCUUGGAUGAAGAGCGUGGCAAACUCUUGCAUGAUAGUUUCAACACUUAUUGCUACAGUAGUGUUCAC
Molecule: small RNA, 464 nt
Filed under: Vigna angularis var. angularis
Lineage: Eukaryota; Viridiplantae; Streptophyta; Magnoliopsida; Fabales; Fabaceae
Description: Non-protein coding transcript
Source: RNAcentral